RNAcentral lists this ribosomal RNA (200 nucleotides) under uncultured bacterium. RNAcentral's name for it is "partial 16S ribosomal RNA". It matches the Rfam family "Bacterial small subunit ribosomal RNA", at positions 30 to 243 of the family's 1533-position model. The record is from RNAcentral.
AUUGAACGCUGGCGGCAGGCCUAACACAUGCAAGUCGAGCGGGGUUUUCGGACCUAGCGGCGGACGGGUGAGUAAUGCGUAGGAAGCUGCCCGAUAGAGGGGGAUACCAGUUGGAAACGACUGUUAAUACCGCAUAAUGUCUACGGACCAAAGUGUGGGACCUUCGGGCCACAUGCUAUCGGAUGCGCCUACGUGGAUUA